AAAGAAAGAGGUCGCAAUUUUUAAGAGUAAUAUUUUGUUAGCAGAUUAUUGCAAAAUACGAAAGGAAAAAUUGCCGAAAUUUAAAAGAAGAUCUGAUUCUUUUAAGUUGGGCUAAUGCAAAACAUGUAUUAGACUGUCACAGAAAUGUGGAGUGCUUUCG
Molecule: non-coding RNA, 160 nt
Filed under: chicken gut metagenome
Description: Lysine riboswitch
Rfam family: Lysine riboswitch aptamer
About the family: Riboswitches are metabolite binding domains within certain messenger RNAs that serve as precision sensors for their corresponding targets. Allosteric rearrangement of mRNA structure is mediated by ligand binding, and this results in modulation of gene expression. This family includes riboswitches that sense lysine in a number of genes involved in lysine metabolism, including lysC.
Source: RNAcentral